RNAcentral lists this long non-coding RNA (3406 nucleotides) under Homo sapiens (human). RNAcentral describes it as "long non-coding RNA NONHSAT081014.2". Lineage: Eukaryota; Metazoa; Chordata; Mammalia; Primates; Hominidae. The record is from RNAcentral.
CUUGGAGGAGCCAACUUCAAAAGCCUCCGCCUGGCCUGCCCCUCUGCAGUCCUCCAGGCAGCCUGUCCAGGGAAGCGGUUGGCUGGUGUUGGACCUGGUGCGGCAGUGCACACCCUGCCCAAGGACCCCAGGAUCAUGUGCGUGGCCUGCUGGCGGGAGUGAGGGAGGGCAAGACCCUGAAAGGCCCAUGGUGAGCAGCUGUGGGCCUCCUCUAGGGAGGGGGCUUACUUGGGUGGAGGGGCUGGGGGUACACACAGCUCAGGAGACACUGCUUGUUCCCCUGAGCCCCACCAGGAAAUCUCCGGUUGGCUCUGGUCACUGCGUCCCUGUGGGUGGCACUGGGUGCAUGUGCCCUGGCUUCUGGCAGUUGGGGGAGGGGGGCUCCUGGGUGCCGGGCAACCCUGUUCUAAGCUGGGCUGAGGCUUGAGCCUGGAAGUGGUACUAACAGGCCAGUUGGGACUCCCAGGGCAGCCAGUCUGCCCCACCUGGGUGGGACACAGCAGGUGCUGGACAUCCUUGCAGCUCCAGCUGGCCUGCUCAGGAGUCAGGCUCUGGUUCUCGCUAUGACCUCUGACCCAGAGCAGGCAGAGGGAAUGACGUGGCAAUUCUGAGCCCACCAAGUUGGCUGUGGCGUGUGUGGUUGGGGGGGUCAGGUUUCAGGAAGGGGCCACAGCAAGCCAUCUGCUCUUCCAGCCAUUGCUGCUUUGUGCUCUGAGCAGGAGCUGCCACCGCCCACCAGGCCCCCAGCUCUAUGCAAGGGUUGGGGUGCUGCUUGUUCAGGCUCCCCUGACAGGGCUAGGAAGCCGAGUCGAGUCCUCUUAUCUUGGUUGGGUUCGCAUGAUUAAUUUCCAGCCCUAGAUCUGCUGUCUGACUCCAUCCUGGGGGCCCAGGGGAAGGGUUGGGGCUGGCCCCUUUUGGGUGGCUGGGAACCUGGGGGCCGUCAGCUGUCUCCUUGAUGUUUGGGCUUUAUCCCUGCGGGCGCAGGCCCUCCAUUUUGGGUCGGGGGAGGCCUGUGGCACAGGCUGCCCGGAGGGAUGGCGUGGGGCGGCUGGUACAGGCAGAGGGGCCUUUUGCGACUGUUGGUUGGGGCUGGAUGUGGUGGCUCCUUCCUCCUCUAUAGCUUCUGGGUGUCCCCCUAGCUUUCCCCUUCCAAUAGGGUGUGGCUUGGAGCUCUGAGCCCCUGCCCCAGUUGGGUUGGGGGUACAAGGAGUCCCCAGUUCCCACGUCUCUGUGAGCUAACCCAGAGGGCGCCAGUAUGGGAGGUGUGGAGUUGAAUGGGCAUGGCCAUGAGUGAGACAGGCUGUACUGGGACAACUUCCUACUGUACCCCCAAGAGCCUGCAGACCAGCCCCACUAGAGCUGUACGGGGCUGGUGGGGGGCCCUGCUCUGUGCGGUCCUGAGGGUGCUCCACCCCUUGCUGGCCCCACUCCCACGUGGACCACAGAGCCAGGCUCUCCUGACUCUGGGCCUGCCCCCUCUAUCUCCUGAUGGGUUCUUCAGGACUCAGUGACAUCGCCUCCCAGCCGACAUCACUCACCCCUUUCACAUCUUUGCAGGGAGCAUAGAACUGUCUGGUUUGCAGACCUAUCUCUUGUGUCUCCUGAUUUAUCCCGCCAGGCCUGUGCCUACAGCCUUUCUUGAUUGGUGACACGUCCAUUUCAUUCGCUCAGAGAUCCCGUGGGGUGGGGCAGGGGGUGGGGCUUCUACGGAAACAAAGUGCAGGUGGGCUGGCUGCUCCCUGUGCUGGGAACACCCCCCAGGCCUAACCCCAACCUGCUGUCUCCUCCAGGUACCCCCUAAGCCUGCACUCUGGGCGCUCCUGCUGGCGCUGCUGGGGACCGCGCCAAGCCGCGCCUAUUCCCCGGCCUGCAGCGUCCCCGACGUGCUCCGCCACUAUCGCGCCAUCAUCUUCGAGGAUCUGCAGGCCGCCGUGAAGUGGGGCGGGGCGGGGGCCGAAAAGACCAGGCCAGGCUCCAGACACUUUCAUUUCAUACAGAAAAACCUGACUAGACCCGGGAGCUCGGGACGGCGGGGACGGCCUCGGGCCUCCUGUGGCGCCCAGAAGCGGAGCCGGCGGCCCAAGAUGCGCCCUGCCCGGCGUCGCGGCGGCCGAAGGCAGCUCCUGCUGCGCGCCCUGGACGCCGUCGCCACCUGCUGGGAGAAGCUCUUCGCGCUGCGCGCCCCGGCCUCCAGGGACUCCUAGCGCGGCCCGUCCUGGCCCUGCGCGGGGAGGAGAACCAGCGGGGCCGCGGCAGAGCCUGGAGACGCGCCUCGUUCUGUAGACUUGUUGGUGACCUCGGCCCCUCGCUCGACGCAGCCCGCGCUCCCCGGAGGGCCCAGGACUUGGAGAAGGGAGCGCGCCUGGCCGCCGCUGGGUCACGGAGGAGGCCCGCCCUCCACGCGCCGAAGGCCUCAAUAAACGGAGCUGGCGCUGCGGGUCCGGCACUCCCUUCGCCUGCCUCUCUGUGGGCCUAGGACCGCCCCGGGAUCUGCGCCUCGGUGGCGGGGGGCGGUGGAGGGGGAAUGCGGAGACCCGCACUUCCUGUGGCACCUGGACGGGGCGGAGCCGCCGCUCCCAGCCUCGGGCAGCAGAGGGCGGACGCGGGACGCUGGGCGCGCUCCGGCUCUGUCAGCGGCUCCCGGCUGGGCGGAGGGCAGAGCGGGGGACUCCUGGGGCCCCUAAAACGUCACGUAUCCGUCCUGCUCCACUUUGGACCGGGGCCGGGGGUGGAAAUUGAGGGGAGGGGAAGGCUGGACUUGGUGAAUUCGGAGCAAAACAACCGGAUAAAGGAAACGGGCCCGAAGGGAAGCGGGAGCUGCGGGCCUUGGCUGUGAGCUUGGCCAGGCUAUUUCCUGCUGCCUCCGGAGGGGUGACCACGGCCUGGGCUCAGAGACUGCCCAGCCCCCUCUGCAGGACUGGCCAGGCUGGGGCCCGCUUUCUGGCCCCUGGAACCCUCCAUUUGCUGGGGGACUGUCCCCUGGUUCCCCCAUCUGAUGCGCAGGUCUGGGAGUCUGUCACCCCCCUCCCCCAAUCUCGGCCCAUGGAGGAGCAGGGGAGGUAAAGUACCUGACACCUGUUACCCUCCCCUUCCCGGAAAGGCCGCGAGCAGGCUGUGCCUCUGGCAUUCUGUGGGAUCAGGGGCAGCAGCAGAAGAAAGAAGUAACCUCCCAAGCUGACCCUGACCCAGCCCCACACUCUGUGUUAAUGUAUUUAGUCUGUGCAACGGGAGCUACUGUCUCUGUUUUAUAGAUGGGGAAACUGAAGCACGAGGAGGCUGAGACUUGCCCCAAAUCACAGCCAGCAAUGUAAGAGCUGGCCUCAGACCCAGGCCCAGGGCAUGGGAUCUGCCACAUGUCCCCUGCCUGGAGGCUGGGGGCCAAGCUUCCUGGACUUCAGAGCCUUGG